Long non-coding RNA from Mytilus trossulus (common blue mussel), 1413 nucleotides. RefSeq lists it as uncharacterized. The transcript is spliced from 4 exons. NCBI's taxonomy places the organism in Eukaryota, Metazoa, Mollusca, Bivalvia, Mytilida, Mytilidae. The record is from RefSeq and is a predicted model, not a curated record.
CCCUUCAUUGUUGACCAGUGGAAAACUUCCCGCCGAGGUGUUUCAAAUAGCACUUUGUCUUUAAACGAACAAGAUGGACACAUGCAGUUUACAGAAGCAAAAGAUUUGAUUUGAACUGUUCGUGAAACCACACAUACUCAAGAGAAUUUACAAGACUAUUAUCCACAAAAUGCAACAGUCUUAUUUUGAUGAAUUGUUGAACCAGAGAAAUGUGAAGACUUACAGACACCUAGACUGUAUAGUCAACGUAACAAUGAUUAGAGAAUCAGACUACAGUGAACAUUACAAUGAUUAGAAAAUCAGACUAGAGUCAACAUUACAAUGAUUAGAGAAUCAGACUAUAGUCAACAUUACAAUGAUUAGAAAAUCAGCCAGCUGCAUUUCAUCAAUCAGUUUAUGAUGAAGCUUUACAGCAUUGGAAAUGAUUACUCAGGGACCAAACAACUGAACAGAAAAAAGAACCGUAUGACCUUGAAGAGUAAGCAAUGUAUUAAGUAUAUUUGGGGUUACCAAAGAGUAUGGUAAGAACCUCAUCUUAAAUUAUACUUGAGUUCUUACAAAGAUGCAUAGGUAUAAAAUAUUUAUUAUUUUUUGUCUUUUGGUGUAUUUUUGUCAAUGAGUUAAAACCCAAAGAACAGUACAUCGAUCAGAAGUAAUAAGUUUGACUAGUGUAAUUUGAGAGAGAACACUCUGGAACACAAAAAAUAUCCUACCUCAUAAAAAUUUAACACGACAUCUUAUUUUCACCUUCUUUCAUUGAAGCAGCACACAGUGUAGUCAAGAAUGUAUGCAUGUCCUUGAACUUCUAGAAAUACAAUACCUCUAAUAGUUAAAACAGUCUGGUAUAAUGGUCAACAAGAGCUACAUAAAAAAAAGGAAGAUACCAAAGUUAAAUUAAAAAAAUAUGUAUUUAAUUUUUGAAAUUUACCUCAAAGAAAAUAAAAUAAAGUUUAAUUGAUUUUUUUCUUAUAUGUGUAAUGUUGUAUAUGUAUUUUUAUUUCAUUUCAGAGUUCAACAACAGAUUAUUAAUUCUAUUAUUUUGUUUUUCGCAGAUUGCAGCAGUGGGAUGUUACAGUCAUAGACGUUGGAUAGACUCCGUUGUACUAGGCCAGGGAGGGUAGCGCAGAGUUUCCGCAGCACUAUACAAUAGUAACAAGAUCACUCUACCAUGAGCUUGUUAAAGGGCCCGUUUGAUGAAAGUGACAACAACGUUCUCCACGACACUACAGAUUUUUUUUUGCAGAUGCAGCCGAGAGGAUGUUUCAGUCAUGGACUCAUUUGAUGGAAGUGACACCAACAUUCUCAAACACUAAUAAUUUACAAAUUUGUUUUUGUUGUAGAUGCAACCUCAGUCAUACACCCUAGAGUUUGGCUAUGUGUGACAGAAGAAGAGUGGCAUGUAGAUUUCUUUUA